CGCGAGGGUAGGCCGGGCUGUAUCACCGUGACAUCACCUCCAUUCCGGGCGCUUAUCGGGCGCCAGCAGCGCUCCAGGAAACUGUCACUCCAGCCAGAGAGGCCUGAAUGUGCGAGCCUCCCACACUGGCCUUCCUGUGGCUGGCUCACACUGCCUCCCCCACUGUACCUCAAUCCGGGAUGUUUGUUCUCAGCUCCUCUCAGCCUGCCAGGGACCAUCUCUCUUUCAAGCCCUGGGAUCCUACUGGAAAGAGCACUGGCGACAAGAGUCCUCUUUCUCCCUGGAGAAGGGCUCUACUAAUCUUUUGUGCUGAGAUUACAGGUAUGCAAUACCACGCCCUGUUUAUUCAGUGAUGGAGAUGAACUCAGGGCUUCAAGCAUGCUAGGUAAGCAUUCUACUGACUGAAUGACUUUUC
Molecule: long non-coding RNA, 415 nt
Organism: Nannospalax galili (Upper Galilee mountains blind mole rat)
Lineage: Eukaryota; Metazoa; Chordata; Mammalia; Rodentia; Spalacidae
Exons: 3
Source: RefSeq, a predicted model, not a curated record